GUUUUAGUAGUUUAACAAAAAUAUUAAUUUUGUAAGUUAAAGAUACUUUAGUUUAAAACUC
Molecule: transfer RNA, 61 nt
Filed under: Heterometrus longimanus
Lineage: Eukaryota; Metazoa; Arthropoda; Arachnida; Scorpiones; Scorpionidae
Description: tRNA-Thr
Source: RNAcentral